This 374-nucleotide long non-coding RNA is filed under the name Homo sapiens (human). Its description in RNAcentral is "non-protein coding lnc-PDGFRB-4:1". The record is from RNAcentral. Lineage: Eukaryota; Metazoa; Chordata; Mammalia; Primates; Hominidae.
CCCCAAACUUAGCUAGCUCCCCCCAAGCUCAGGCUGGCCCUGCCCCAGACUGCGACCCCUCCCUCUUGGGUUCAAGGCUUUGUUUUCUUCUUAAAGACCCAAGAUUUCCAAACUCUGUGGUUGCCUUGCCUAGCUAAAAGGGGAAGAAGAGGAUCAGCCCAAGGAGGAGGAAGAGGAAAACAAGACAAACAGCCAGUGCAGAGGAGAGGAACGUGUGUCCAGUGUCCCGAUCCCUGCGGAGCUAGUAGCUGAGAGCUCUGUGCCCUGGGCACCUUGCAGCCCUGCACCUGCCUGCCACUUCCCCACCGAGGCCAUGGGCCCAGGAGUUCUGCUGCUCCUGCUGGUGGCCACAGCUUGGCAUGGUAAGAGCAGAA